This is a long non-coding RNA of Ailuropoda melanoleuca (giant panda), 3934 nucleotides long. The record is from Ensembl. NCBI's taxonomy places the organism in Eukaryota, Metazoa, Chordata, Mammalia, Carnivora, Ursidae.
CCCCGGGGCUCUCCCAGGACCAGGAAAGGUGUGGCAACAGGCACUUUCUUCCUGUUUUAGGGAUGAGGAAUGCCAGGACUGGGCCCAAAAGCCCAAAAGCCGAGCAACUGAUGAGCGAGGGCCAACGCACAGGUGCGACCCCAGGGUGGGCCUUUCCCGUGGGUCCUUACUUGUGAAUCACCGACAGUGAAUGGCCCGAGGGGUGCAGUCAACCUCCCACACACCUCUGACCAGGGGAAAAAAAAAUCUCAAAACUGAGUAUGAAUAAUGGGAUCUAAGACAGGACGGAGCUGGCUCCCCGCGGGGUGGAAGCUGAGCGCCUGUCCCCACCGCGCCUGCCUCAAUUUCCCCAUGUGCGCUGGGCCGGGUCGGUCGNCACUCCCGCGCCCCCCCCCCACCUGCGGCGCCCACCAACCCCCUCCCCCGCUCACCUGCAGCUCCGGCUCCGCGAGCACGCUGGCACACCCCGGACACGGAGAGGUGCAGCCCAACAAUGCAGGCUGCCAGGCCCACGCGGUCGCCAUGGAGACGCCCAGACGGAGUCCCGGAGGCGCCAAGCCGCGCGGAGAGCGCGCAGCCGCGGAGAGAACGGUGCGCUUGCGCACGGGGCCCCUGCGCCGGCCGCGAAGUCCCAGCCGGGCUUGCCGGCGUCCCCUGUGGCCUCCUGUGCGAGCCACUGGGGGACGCACAGAGGGGACACGUGUGCCUUAGUCCUGAGAGACCUAUGCAUGAGGAAGGCCCUUACGGGCCCACCCCCGAGCGAGCAGGGUCUGGGCGGGGCGAGCUCCAGGCUGACCACCGGCCUCCAGGGCCCAGAGAGCCCUCCCACGUGGCCUGACUGCCCUCUGCCCUGGCGGGCCUGGCGGCUUGGAGGGGCCCAGGAUCGCUGCUGUCACACGGACACCCACCCCCCUCCCCGCCCCUCUCCCGAGGCAACGGCCUCCCCAGAAGCCCGCCUGGUAGCCUUUGGGCUGUCCUCGGCCAGAGUUGCUUCCAGUCACCAGAGGGGAAAAGAGAGCCACACGGGCCAGGGCCAAGCAGGAGUCCCUCUGCGGCCUGCCCCUUGGCCAAGCGCCCAGGCAGAGGACGGUGAACACCAGGCAGACGCGGAGCCCCUGGGGAUGAUGUCCUUCAGGGAGCCGAGAGAAGGAAGGCCGCAAAGGGAAGAUGACCUUGGUUUUCACGUGUGGUGCCUGCCCUCUGAGUGCACGCAGUGCGGGCAGUGGGAUUGCCUCAGGAGGGCAAGAGGACCAUGGUGGAAAGGCUGGUUCUCCGGCACCUCAGGAGAGACGUGGGUUGACUCCUUGUGUUCCAGGUAAGCCUGGGUGGUAAGCUCAACCUUGAGAUUUGGGUACAAGCUGUUUAGCUCCAUAGACCGCUCCUGCCAGCCUCAUGGCCUGGGGGGGCCAGUCACCCUUCCUCAGGCCCCUGUGCAUUCAGGCGCUCAGGGAAUGGGGGGGGCGAUGUAGCGGGGUGAGAGGGCAGCGGGACUUUCUGCAUUGUUGGGGACAAGGGUUCAAAUCCUGGCAAAGCAGCAGCUCUCCACCCCCAACCUGCCAUGGGGCGGGGGGCAGUCCUGCCCUUCAGAGGCGCCCCCACCAUCUUCCCAGUUCCCGGACCACUCUUCUCCCCUGUUCCUCUCUGGGGAUGAAGCCCCUUCCUCCAGAGACACUAGGCUUUGAGUCACUUUCUUGUCCGCUGGCGAUGUCCUUCACUUCCUGCGAGCCCCUCAGUGCAGUAAAAAUGUGGGUCUGUGGGACCUUGCUGUUCUGUGGCUGGGGGCCCCUCAGGGUGUCAGCACAGAGGUCAGGCCCAGGAGCGGCACGUGGGAGCCCAGUCAGAUUUGAGUGAGUGAGCAAAUGAAGAUGUGCUCGUGUCUGUCCCGCUGGUGCGUUGUUCCCCCUCCAUGCACACCACGUGCUCUCACGUUUCAGAAAGCAGCAGCGGGACAGAUGAUGCAGUCCGGGCAGAGGGGACGCCGCGCAGAGGGCGGGCAUCGUGGGUGCACAGAAGGGAGGCAGAACACCGGAUGCUCGGCUCUCGGCAUCAGACUAAAGGCUGUUGUUUGCACAGACUGAGCUGUGACGUAUUUCCGGGGCCAGCGUCUGCUGGGCUCUUGCCACCUGGGUCUUCAUGCCCAGUGGGGUGGGAACAGUUCACCUGAUCCCUGUUUCCUGCUGCUGCCACAGCAACUGGCCAGAGCCUCGGGGCCCUGCAACAACGCGCAUUUAUUCUCUUGCCGCUCGGGGGUCACAGGUGUGGACGGGUUUCCCCAGCUGGCAUCGGGGUUCUGCAGGGCUCCAGGGGAGCAUCUGUUUCCCUGUCUUCCCAGCUUCUAGAGGUGCCUGCAUCCCUUGGCCCUGCCCCCCCAUCGGUGUCCUCACUCCAUUGUCACACCUCCUGCUCCCCCCGGACGGACCCUGUGACCGUGCUGGCCGUCAGGUAGCUCAGGACGGCCCCUCCCUCUCAACAUCUCUAGCUCAGCCCCGUGUACAUCCCUUCUGCCCUGCACAUACUGUGUUCACAGGGUUCAGGGAUUAGGGUGUGGCGUCUUUGGGGGCCGUCAUGCCGUCUCUGCAGCGGGCAUACCUCCUGGAAAGGAACGGUCUUCACUGGAGGAAAUGCAGUGAUAAGCUGAUGUGGUGGCCGAUGGCCUGUGGCCCUGAUAUUGGCACCAAGGAUGAGGCCCCCGGCCAGCCACAGGAUCCACACGAUCAGAAGUCCAGGAUGCCGUCUCCACACCUGAGCCUGGCUUGGGACCCACAACGUGUGGCUUCACGGAGAAACCAGGCUCUGAGGAAGAGGGCUGCCCCUCCCCGCACCGGCGGUGACCCCGGUGCUUCCCCAGGGCACUGUGGCCAUGUGCACUGGGCUGUUUCGAGGACUGCUGGACACAGGUGGGGCUGAGAUUCCGACCUGAAGGCCUGAGGUGUCACCACGGCCACCCAUUUGAGCAAAGAGCGUGGAGAUCAGGUAAUGAAUAUGUCCUGGUCCAGGUGUGGCUUGUCCAUGGACCACCCUCCAGGAGCCCAGCUCCUGAGUAGAUCACUGGAGUGGACAUGUGGCAGUCAGCCUCACCCCUGUACUAACUACACUGUCUUCUGUAUCUUCAUGCUGUGGCCUCUGGGGUCUCGCUGGCUGGACGGCGAGAUUCCGCCCCCCCCGCUCCCCCCAAGCCAGCCAGUUCUUGGAGAUGGCAAAAGACUGGCCUGGGAGUUGCCUUUCGUACGGCACCAAGCGAUCUGGAGCCCUCCUCUGAGCCCCUCGUCCGUCCAGCAUGGACCCUCCAGCAGGCAGUGACCAGGCACUGGACAAGCAGGAACCACCACCACUGUAGGCCAGAGCCCACCAAAAUAGUCCAUCCGUUCAGUCCUAAGCCUGUUCGGAUGCUCACCUGAUCCUUCCCUGGAAACCACAACACACACUUUUGUCCAUGUUUCCCUCGGCCUCCUGACGGACCCUGGUGCUCCCUGCAUGGCCUGUGGGGUGCCACCCCCACUUCUCCGUAACCCUGCACCCACAGAGACUUGUCGCUUCACAAUGGUCUUUUCCAUGUCUGCACGUCUUACCAAGCCUGAUCAGAACAAGUCCCAGGUACAAUUUGAAAAACCCCCUUAGCUUCUUGGCCUGUGGGUUAAGGACGGUCACAGUGAGAAGGUGCAGUGGGAGCCCGUGAGGCUGCCCCUCCACCAGCCAGGAGCCUGUCCCAGGGGCAAGCAGAGACAGCACUGCCCUUAGACCUAAACGUUCAGCAGAGGUGUCUCCACCCUCCCCUCCAGGAGACCCUCAGCGAGAACGGCAGAUAUUUUUGGUUGUCAGAGCUUGGGGUGGGGGGACAAGGAAGGAGGAGCCCCUACCUCCAGUGAGUGGAGGCUCGGGACUCUGUCACACGUCCUUUGAUGCCCAGGAUGGCCCCCACAACAGAAUUAUCUGG